GGAUGUGAGGGUGAUCUGGCUGCGACAUCUGUCACCUCACUGAUCACCAGGGUUGAUUCGCUGAUCUGGCUGGCUAGGCAGGUGUUCCCUUCCUCAUGGCUCCACCUGUGCCCCUCCCAAAGCUGUGUGCCUGGUCAGACAACCCCAGAAAGAGGAGGACUGUUCCUAGGUCGAGGGUAUACUAAUAACUGUGUUCCCUUGCUAGAACCUCCAACAAGCUCUCAAGAAGGAAACAACCUCCUCACAGCACAGCAAUUUCAGGCCUCUGGUUUAU
This 274-nucleotide small nuclear RNA is filed under the name Heterocephalus glaber (naked mole-rat). RNAcentral's name for it is "7SK RNA". It matches the Rfam family "7SK RNA", at positions 1 to 250 of the family's 331-position model. From Rfam's summary of the family: 7SK was discovered as an abundant small nuclear RNA in the mid-70s but a possible function has only recently been suggested. Two independent studies have found that 7SK RNA binds the CDK9/cyclin T complex (known as elongation factor P-TEFb). P-TEFb activates transcription by phosphorylating the C-terminal domain of RNA polymerase II. The record is from Rfam by way of RNAcentral. Lineage: Eukaryota; Metazoa; Chordata; Mammalia; Rodentia; Bathyergidae.